RNAcentral lists this ribosomal RNA (497 nucleotides) under uncultured bacterium. RNAcentral describes it as "partial 16S ribosomal RNA". It matches the Rfam family "Bacterial small subunit ribosomal RNA", at positions 28 to 507 of the family's 1533-position model. The record is from RNAcentral.
GAUGAACGCUGGCGGCGUGCCUAAUACAUGCAAGUCGAGCGAACAGAUGAGGAGCUUGCUCCUCUUACGUUAGCGGCGGACGGGUGAGUAACACGUGGAUAACCUACCUAUAAGACUGGGAUAACUUCGGGAAACCGGAGCUAAUACCGGAUAAUAUAUUGAACCGCAUGGUUCAAUAGUGAAAGACGGUUUUGCUGUCACUUAUAGAUGGAUCCGCGCCGCAUUAGCUAGUUGGUAAGGUAACGGCUUACCAAGGCAACGAUGCGUAGCCGACCUGAGAGGGUGAUCGGCCACACUGGAACUGAGACACGGUCCAGACUCCUACGGGAGGCAGCAGUAGGGAAUCUUCCGCAAUGGGCGAAAGCCUGACGGAGCAACGCCGCGUGAGUGAUGAAGGUCUUCGGAUCGUAAAACUCUGUUAUUAGGGAAGAACAAAUGUGUAAGUAACUCUGCACGUCUUGACGGUACCUAAUCAGAAAGCCACGGCUAACUACGUG